CUACAGACUUAAUGCAGGCAAGCAUGAUGACUCUACAAGCCGUGUGUUGAGGACAGCAGAACCAUAAGAUGGAAGGAGCCUUAAAUCAUUGCUCGUAGGAAAGCCACCUGCAAAUCAGGAACAGUCAUUUUGGACUUUACUUGGGGAAAAAAGAGACGUCUAAUAUGUUUGAGCCAUUAUUCUUCUUGGUUUGAUAAUUACUGCAGCCAGCAUUUCCUCAAUGAAUACAGACGUCUUUGACCAGGUCUUGGUGAACUGGUGAGGAGGCCCUCUGAGAAGAGAGUUUGUAUGCAGAUUUUGGCAGAAAGUUCUGUAAGAAAAAGAUGGUAGGAGAGGAGGACUAGAAGAAGAGCAGAAGUUCUCUUCGAUACCCAGACCCCAGCCCAACUCCACCCUUUGCAGAGAGGUGACGCUCUGUGGAGGAGUGGGGUUCUCCUCACUUCUGCGUGAACAGAGAGUCUUAGGCUGUCUGAAGAACCUCGGUGCCUUAGUGAUGGAUCCAAGCCAGAAUAUGACACGGCAUCUAGUCGUCACGUCUCCUGAUUUCCUCUGAUCUGUGUUCUCAGAAGUUCUUGUUUGCCAGGACCUUGACAGUUUUGAAGACUGCUAGUGAGAUAUGUUGCAGAGUAUCCUUCAGUUGGGAUCUACCCGACAUUUUCUUAUGAUUAAACUGGGUUACAAUUUUGGGGGGAGGAAAACCACAGAGAUGCAGAACAUUCUGCCUGCAUCACAUUGGGGCACGUGACGUGCUGAUGUGAGCACUAGGGGAAGGCAGCAUCUGUUGUCUUUCAGGUUCCCUUUCUGCCAGCUUACUGUGUCUCCCUUUCCUCACUCUAUCCUUUGGACGUGGGUCAUCAAGUCCAGCCCCACACUCUGGAAGAGAGGAACUAAUUCUGCCUCCAGGAGAGGGAACUAUCUACACAUAUUACUUGGAAUUAUUUUGUAAGGAAAAUUUGUCCUUUAUCCUUCAUUUGUUUAUUUAUUCCAUCAUUUGUAUAGAUCAAUAUGGACUUACAGGUAUUUAUUUGAUUCUUUGGGUUACAAUCCAAUACUAUUG
This 1057-nucleotide long non-coding RNA is filed under the name Equus caballus (horse). RNAcentral describes it as "lncRNA (ENSECAG00000049756.1)". The record is from RNAcentral. Lineage: Eukaryota; Metazoa; Chordata; Mammalia; Perissodactyla; Equidae.